CCUACGGGAGGCAGCAGUGAGGAAUAUUGGUCAAUGGGCGCGAGCCUGAACCAGCCAAGUAUCGUGAAGGAUGACUGCCCUACGGGUUGUAAACUUCUUUUAUAAAGGAAUCAAGUGAGGCACGUGUGCCUUUUUGUAUGUACUUUAUGAAUAAGGCUCGGCUAACUCCGUGCCAGCAGACGCGGUAAUACUGAGGAUCCGGGCGUUAUCCGGAUUUAUUGGGUUUAAAGGGAGCGUAAAUGGGUUGUUAAGUCAGUUGUGAAAGUUUGCGGCUCAACCGUAAAAUUGCAAUUGAUACUGGCAGCCGUGAGUACAGUUGAGGUAGGCGGAAUUCGUGGUGUAGCGGUGAAAUGCUUAGAUAUCACGAAGAACUCCGAUUGCGAAGGCAGCUUACUAAACUGCCACUGACAUUGAUGCUCGAAAGUGUGGGUAUCAAACAGGAUGAGAUACCCCAGUAGUC
RNAcentral lists this ribosomal RNA (460 nucleotides) under uncultured bacterium. RNAcentral's name for it is "partial 16S ribosomal RNA". It matches the Rfam family "Bacterial small subunit ribosomal RNA", at positions 338 to 795 of the family's 1533-position model. The record is from RNAcentral.